AGUGAACGCUGACGGUAGGCCUAACACAUGCAAGUCGAACGGCAGCACAGUAAGAGCUUGCUCUUACGGGUGGCGAGUGGCGGACGGGUGAGGAAUACAUCGGAAUCUACUUUUUCGUGGGGGAUAACGUAGGGAAACUUACGCUAAUACCGCAUACGACCUACGGGUGAAAGCAGGGGAUCUUCGGACCUUGCGCGAUUGAAUGAGCCGAUGUCGGAUUAGCUAGUUGGCGGGGUAAAGGCCCACCAAGGCGACGAUCCGUAGCUGGUCUGAGAGGAUGAUCAGCCACACUGGAACUGAGACACGGUCCAGACUCCUACGGGAGGCAGCAGUGGGGAAUAUUGGACAAUGGGCGCAAGCCUGAUCCAGCCAUACCGCGUGGGUGAAGAAGGCCUUCGGGUUGUAAAGCCCUUUUGUUGGGAAAGAAAGGCAGCAGGUUAAUACCCCGCUGUUCUGACGGUACCCAAAGAAUAAGCACCGGCUAACUUCGUG
This 492-nucleotide ribosomal RNA is filed under the name uncultured bacterium. RNAcentral's name for it is "partial 16S ribosomal RNA". It matches the Rfam family "Bacterial small subunit ribosomal RNA", at positions 29 to 507 of the family's 1533-position model. The record is from RNAcentral.